AUUGAACGCUGGCGGCAUGCCUUACACAUGCAAGUCGAACGGCAGCACGGGGCAACCUGGUGGCGAGUGGCGAACGGGUGAGUAAUGCAUCGGAACGUGCCAUUGAGUGGGGGAUAACGUAGCGAAAGUUGCGCUAAUACCGCAUAUUCUGUGAGCAGGAAAGCAGGGGACCGCAAGGCCUUGCGCUCUUUGAGCGGCCGAUGUCAGAUUAGCUAGUUGGUGAGGUAACGGCUUACCAAGGCGACGAUCUGUAGCGGGUCUGAGAGGAUGAUCGCCACACUGGAACUGAGACACGGUCCAGACUCCUACGGGAGGCAGCAGUGGGGAAUUUUGGACAAUGGGCGCAAGCCUGAUCCAGCCAUGCCGCGUGAGUGAAGAAGGCCUCGGGUUGU
RNAcentral lists this ribosomal RNA (392 nucleotides) under uncultured bacterium. RNAcentral's name for it is "bacterial SSU rRNA". It matches the Rfam family "Bacterial small subunit ribosomal RNA", at positions 30 to 426 of the family's 1533-position model. The record is from RNAcentral.